GAUGAACGCUGGCGGCGUGCUUAACACAUGCAAGUCGAACGAUGAAGCCCAGCUUGCUGGGUGGAUUAGUGGCGAACGGGUGAGUAACACGUGAGUAACCUGCCCUUAACUCUGGGAUAAGCCUGGGAAACUGGGUCUAAUACCGGAUAGGAGCGCCUACCGCAUGGUGGGUGUUGGAAAGAUUUAUCGGUUUUGGAUGGACUCGCGGCCUAUCAGCUUGUUGGUGAGGUAAUGGCUCACCAAGGCGACGACGGGUAGCCGGCCUGAGAGGGUGACCGGCCACACUGGGACUGAGACACGGCCCAGACUCCUACGGGAGGCAGCAGUGGGGUAUAUUGCACAAUGGGCGAAAGCCUGAUGCAGCGACGCCGCGUGAGGGAUGACGGCCUUCGGGUUGUAAACCUCUUUCAGUAGGGAAGAAGCGAAAGUGACGGUACCUGCAGAAGAAGCACCGGCUAACUACGUGCCAGCAGCCGCGGUAAUACGUAGGGUGCGAGCGUUAUCCGGAAUUAUUGGGCGUAAAGAGCUCGUAGGCGGUUUGUCGCGUCUGUCGUGAAAGUCCGGGGCUUAACCCCGGAUCUGCGGUGGGUACGGGCAGACUAGAGUGCAGUAGGGGAGACUGGAAUUCCUGGUGUAGCGGUGGAAUGCGCAGAUAUCAGGAGGAACACCGAUGGCGAAGGCAGGUCUCUGGGCUGUAACUGACGCUGAGGAGCGAAAGCAUGGGGAGCGAACAGGAUUAGAUACCCUGGUAGUCCAUGCCGUAAACGUUGGGCACUAGGUGUGGGGACCAUUCCACGGUUUCCGCGCCGCAGCUAACGCAUUAAGUGCCCCGCCUGGGGAGUACGGCCGCAAGGCCAAAACUCAAAGGAAUCGACGGGGGCCCGCACAAGCGGCGGAGCAUGCGGAUUAAUUCGAUGCAACGCGAAGAACCUUACCAAGGCUUGACAUGUUCUCGAUCGCCGUAGAGAUACGGUUUCCCCUUUGGGGCGGGUUCACAGGUGGUGCAUGGUUGUCGUCAGCUCGUGUCGUGAGAUGUUGGGUUAAGUCCCGCAACGAGCGCAACCCUCGUUCCAUGUUGCCAGCACGUAAUGGUGGGGACUCAUGGGAGACUGCCGGGGUCAACUCGGAGGAAGGUGAGGACGACGUCAAAUCAUCAUGCCCCUUAUGUCUUGGGCUUCACGCAUGCUACAAUGGCCGGUACAAUGGGUUGCGAUACUGUGAGGUGGAGCUAAUCCCAAAAAGCCGGUCUCAGUUCGGAUUGGGGUCUGCAACUCGACCCCAUGAAGUCGGAGUCGCUAGUAAUCGCAGAUCAGCAACGCUGCGGUGAAUACGUUCCCGGGCCU
This 1343-nucleotide ribosomal RNA is filed under the name uncultured bacterium. RNAcentral describes it as "bacterial SSU rRNA". It matches the Rfam family "Bacterial small subunit ribosomal RNA", at positions 28 to 1381 of the family's 1533-position model. The record is from RNAcentral.